GGAAGCUAGAAGAGGAAGUGAGAGCAGCGACAAAGGCAGAGAAGAGGCCACCUUUUCUGUUCUGCUUUUUUCACAAGAUGCUCAACAGGAAAAAGAAUCCGUCUCAAUGAGAGAAAACUAUAAAUAGGACCAAAUAAAGUGACAUGUUAGCUCACAGAGGUUCUGCUUCACACCUACUGCUCUUCAGAUACCAUCUCCCUUACGUAAAGUAGUUGUGACAAGCAGCCUUGCCACUUCCCAGCACCAAAUACUACAGGAGUCAACACGGUGUUACUUGCUCCCAACACAGCUGAUCAUGCAGGUGCUCAAGGGAAGAGAAAAGGCAUUUUGAUGGGAUCUGAGAGCAUGGAUGAGUUGUUGCAUUUAUAUUAAAGUACUUCUAUUCUAUUCUGCAAAAAGCCUGAUUCUCACACCCAGUUAUGUCCGGUUAUGUGAGAUCAGAAUCAAGCUGACAUUCAGGGAAAUCCCAAGCCAGCAGCUAUGAAAAACUUUCCUCCAGAUUGUUUCCACCAGGGUUUAUAAAAUACAUGUGUUCUGGGGCCCCUUUGGGCUAUGAUGCGCAGUCUCCUCUCGCUUGAAACAAAAUAGUAGGGGGAUCUCAGCAUUUCCAUGGGGAAAUCAUAAUCACAGCAGGCAAGGACUUGAGCACCCAAGUCUUUUAAGGAGCUAUCUGACUCAACCUGCACCCAGCUUUAUCUUGACAGCUAAGCUUCUUUCAUCUCUCUAUCAGGCCACCUGCUCACUGAGCAUCUUUGCCCUUGCUGUAAGGUGCUGCCACAUCUUACCACCAACGGCCCACAGCCUGACUUCUGCACUAGCCUUGGCACAACAGCCUGUGACAGUUCCAGAGAAGUUUUGUGACAGGAGCCUGGCUGACUGAUCAAUCCAUAGUCAUUCAAAAAUCGCUGCAGUGGGGACAGAAAAGAGGACGGGCUAGUUUGAGCACCAUGGCACUAUUAAAGGCUGGGAACCUGGAGGAUACACUGCCAACAGUGGAGGCGGAAGUAGGUACUUCCCAGUGGGAGCAUUUGACCUUGUAACAGACAUCCUGAUGGAGCAAGAACAGUGGCAUAGAGCGUACAAAGCUGUAUGAAUUCGACUGUGUGGACCAGGGAUCUGGGCAGUGUCACUGUGAGCUGCUGCGAUCGAUGUGAGUUGCUGCAAUCCAUCCUUACAGAAAAAGGCAUCUGGGCUCAGCUAAAGAUGACUGCUGAAUCCCAAAAAACUGCAAAGAGCAUGAGGUGAAGAAAGCGACCUGUGGGACAAGGGACUCUUCUGAAGCAGGAAGAUGCUUUGAGGUUUUCAGUAAACCUACAGCUGGCUUCUUCAGUCACUUUAAAUCUGAAGCCUGGCAUGUUUGUUCUUCUGACCACUUUUAAGCAGUGAAAUAGCAUUGAAACUGUCUUACUGCCAGAAUGCAUUGCUGCAGCAAAAGCAGGUCAGGGUGAGAGGGAGGGAGCGCUGCGCCAGCAAACUGCAGCUUUCAGUUCAGCAGCAGAUGCAGGCAUGAACUUGGAUCUUACCUUUCCCUUUUUGAAGGACCUUCACCUUCCCCUGGAGAUCAGCAAUCUUCCUGUCCUGCAGAUGUGGGACAGAAAGACAGAGCCAUGAUCUUGGUUAGAAGGUCUGCAGUAGAACCUUCUAACUGCUGGAGAUGCAGUUUACCCGACAGCUUCAAUAAUGGCAGCUGGGCCUUAGCUACUGGGGGAGUUUGCUGUAGGGAGACUCUCUGCUUUCUGAUCCAUUUGGAUCUUGUAAAAUGAAGAGAAGAAAAGAAACAUCCAAAACAGAAGAGUCACUGACAUCAGCAAAUUCAGUCAUUGCGGUUCAUUUUUACGCAGGAUCACAGCAGGUUCAACACUCUAGUGCCUCCCCGCCCUCCAAACCGCAUUGACAAGGCAGCAGUUGUGCUUCUGCGGUGGAUGCUUUCUGUACUUAGAAUAAAAGCCUUGUCUACAGAUUAUACUGCCUUAGUCCAAACUAGACCCAAACGUGGUCCUGCCUAUUGUGGCUUACACCGUGAACAACCGGGCUGGCAAUUUUACCUUCAGC
Alligator sinensis (Chinese alligator) is the source of this 2052-nucleotide long non-coding RNA. RefSeq lists it as uncharacterized. Lineage: Eukaryota; Metazoa; Chordata; Crocodylia; Alligatoridae. The transcript is spliced from 4 exons. The record is from RefSeq and is a predicted model, not a curated record.